AAUUUUCGAUAUAAAUAUAGUCCUAACGAGCUAGAGAGUUAGGUCAGUUCAAAUAAUCGAACAUUUUGUUAUCAUUUUCACCUUCGAACAGAAUUUUGAAGUAAAAUGAAAGUUUUUGGCCUACUUAUUUCGGCUAUGUUGGGGGUACUCGCAUUUGGCGGGAUGGUAGACGCACGAGCAUCAGCUAUGCCGGAACCAUCGCCAACCAUUGGGAACCAUAUACACAGUUAAAAGCUUUGCAAAUGGGCUCAGAUAAUUUUAUAUAAAAAUUAUAUGACUGGCACAGCAUUUCAAAUGAAAUAAAAAUAAUUUUUUUGCCAAAACACAAA
Hermetia illucens (black soldier fly) is the source of this 329-nucleotide long non-coding RNA. RefSeq lists it as uncharacterized. The record is from RefSeq and is a predicted model, not a curated record. NCBI's taxonomy places the organism in Eukaryota, Metazoa, Arthropoda, Insecta, Diptera, Stratiomyidae. The transcript has 2 exons.